Molecule: ribosomal RNA, 2305 nt
Filed under: Citrobacter sp. Cpo107
Lineage: Bacteria; Pseudomonadati; Pseudomonadota; Gammaproteobacteria; Enterobacterales; Enterobacteriaceae
Description: partial 23S ribosomal RNA
Rfam family: Bacterial large subunit ribosomal RNA
Source: RNAcentral
GGUUAACCGAAUAGGGGAGCCGAAGGGAAACCGAGUCUUAACUGGGCGUUAAGUUGCAGGGUAUAGACCCGAAACCCGGUGAUCUAGCCAUGGGCAGGUUGAAGGUUGGGUAACACUAACUGGAGGACCGAACCGACUAAUGUUGAAAAAUUAGCGGAUGACUUGUGGCUGGGGGUGAAAGGCCAAUCAAACCGGGAGAUAGCUGGUUCUCCCCGAAAGCUAUUUAGGUAGCGCCUCGUGAAUUCAUCUUCGGGGGUAGAGCACUGUUUCGGCUAGGGGGUCAUCCCGACUUACCAACCCGAUGCAAACUGCGAAUACCGAAGAAUGUUAUCACGGGAGACACACGGCGGGUGCUAACGUCCGUCGUGAAGAGGGAAACAACCCAGACCGCCAGCUAAGGUCCCAAAGUCAUGGUUAAGUGGGAAACGAUGUGGGAAGGCACAGACAGCCAGGAUGUUGGCUUAGAAGCAGCCAUCAUUUAAAGAAAGCGUAAUAGCUCACUGGUCGAGUCGGCCUGCGCGGAAGAUGUAACGGGGCUAAACCAUGCACCGAAGCUGCGGCAGCGACACUAUGUGUUGUUGGGUAGGGGAGCGUUCUGUAAGCCGUUGAAGGUGUACUGUGAGGUAUGCUGGAGGUAUCAGAAGUGCGAAUGCUGACAUAAGUAACGAUAAUGCGGGUGAAAAACCCGCACGCCGGAAGACCAAGGGUUCCUGUCCAACGUUAAUCGGGGCAGGGUGAGUCGACCCCUAAGGCGAGGCCGAAAGGCGUAGUCGAUGGGAAACAGGUUAAUAUUCCUGUACUUGGUGUUACUGCGAAGGGGGGACGGAGAAGGCUAUGUUAGCCGGGCGACGGUUGUCCCGGUUUAAGCAUGUAGGCGGAGGUUCCAGGUAAAUCCGGUACCUUAUUAACGCUGAGGUGUGAUGACGAGGCACUACGGUGCUGAAGUAACAAAUGCCCUGCUUCCAGGAAAAGCCUCUAAGCAUCAGGUAACACGAAAUCGUACCCCAAACCGACACAGGUGGUCAGGUAGAGAAUACCAAGGCGCUUGAGAGAACUCGGGUGAAGGAACUAGGCAAAAUGGUGCCGUAACUUCGGGAGAAGGCACGCUGAUAUGUAGGUGAAGUGAUUUACUCAUGGAGCUGAAAUCAGUCGAAGAUACCAGCUGGCUGCAACUGUUUAUUAAAAACACAGCACUGUGCAAACACGAAAGUGGACGUAUACGGUGUGACGCCUGCCCGGUGCCGGAAGGUUAAUUGAUGGGGUUAUCCGUAAGGAGAAGCUCUUGAUCGAAGCCCCGGUAAACGGCGGCCGUAACUAUAACGGUCCUAAGGUAGCGAAAUUCCUUGUCGGGUAAGUUCCGACCUGCACGAAUGGCGUAAUGAUGGCCAGGCUGUCUCCACCCGAGACUCAGUGAAAUUGAACUCGCUGUGAAGAUGCAGUGUACCCGCGGCAAGACGGAAAGACCCCGUGAACCUUUACUAUAGCUUGACACUGAACACUGGUCCUUGAUGUGUAGGAUAGGUGGGAGGCUUUGAAGUGUGGACGCCAGUCUGCAUGGAGCCAUCCUUGAAAUACCACCCUUUAAUGGCUGGUGUUCUAACGUAGACCCGUAAUCCGGGUUGCGGACAGUGUCUGGUGGGUAGUUUGACUGGGGCGGUCUCCUCCUAAAGAGUAACGGAGGAGCACGAAGGUUAGCUAAUCCUGGUCGGACAUCAGGAGGUUAGUGCAAAGGCAUAAGCUAGCUUGACUGCGAGAGUGACGGCUCGAGCAGGUGCGAAAGCAGGUCUUAGUGAUCCGGUGGUUCUGAAUGGAAGGGCCAUCGCUCAACGGAUAAAAGGUACUCCGGGGAUAACAGGCUGAUACCGCCCAAGAGUUCAUAUCGACGGCGGUGUUUGGCACCUCGAUGUCGGCUCAUCACAUCCUGGGGCUGAAGUAGGUCCCAAGGGUAUGGCUGUUCGCCAUUUAAAGUGGUACGCGAGCUGGGUUUAGAACGUCGUGAGACAGUUCGGUCCCUAUCUGCCGUGGGCGCUGGAGAAUUGAGGGGGGCUGCUCCUAGUACGAGAGGACCGGAGUGGACGCAUCACUGGUGUUCGGGUUGUCAUGCCAAUGGCAUUGCCCGGUAGCUAAAUGCGGAAGAGAUAAGUGCUGAAAGCAUCUAAGCACGAAACUUGCCCCGAGAUGAGUUCUCCCUGACUCCUUGAGAGUCCUGAAGGAACGUUGAAGACGACGACGUUGAUAGGUCGGGUGUGUAAGUGUAGCGAUACAUUGAGCUAACCGAUACUAAUGAACCGUGAGGCUUAACCUU